This 107-nucleotide non-coding RNA is filed under the name Comamonadaceae bacterium. RNAcentral describes it as "SAH sequence". It matches the Rfam family "SAH (S-adenosyl-L-homocysteine) riboswitch aptamer". The record is from RNAcentral. Lineage: Bacteria; Pseudomonadati; Pseudomonadota; Betaproteobacteria; Burkholderiales; Comamonadaceae.
CAUUCCGAGGAGCGUUGCAGCUCACGCCAAGGGUUUCACCCGGCGCUGAGUGAGGCUUGGAACCCGCUGUGGCGAUGCCCGGCGUUUCACAACGGCGCUCACCCACA